GACGAACGCUGGCGGCGUGCUUAACACAUGCAAGUCGAACGGAAAGGCCCUGCUUUUGUGGGGUGCUCGAGUGGCGAACGGGUGAGUAACACGUGAGUAACCUGCCCUUGACUUUGGGAUAACUUCAGGGAACUGGGGCUAAUACCGGAUAGGAGCUCCUGCUGCACGGUGGGGGUUGGAAAGUUUCGGCGGUUGGGGAUGGACUCGCGGCUUAUCAGCUUGUUGGUGGGGUAGUGGCUUACCAAGGCUUUGACGGGUAGCCGGCCUGAGAGGGUGACCGGCCACAUUGGGACUGAGAUACGGCCCAGACUCCUACGGGAGGCAGAAGUGGGGAAUAUUGCACAAUGGGCGGAAGCCUGAUGCAGCAACGCCGCGUGCGGGAUGACGGCCUUCGGGUUGUAAACCGCUUUCGCCUGUGACGAAGCGUGAGUGACGGUAAUGGGUAAAGAAGCACCGGCUAACUACGUG
This 468-nucleotide ribosomal RNA is filed under the name uncultured bacterium. RNAcentral's name for it is "partial 16S ribosomal RNA". It matches the Rfam family "Bacterial small subunit ribosomal RNA", at positions 28 to 507 of the family's 1533-position model. The record is from RNAcentral.